CUGCAAGUCGAACGAUGAUGCCCAGCUUGCUGGGCGGAUUAGUGGCGAACGGGUGAGUAACACGUGAGUAACCUGCCCUUGACUUCGGGAUAACUCCGGGAAACCGGGGCUAAUACCGGAUAUGAGCCGCCUUCGCAUGGGGGUGGUUGGAAAGUUUUUCGGUCAGGGAUGGGCUCGCGGCCUAUCAGCUUGUUGGUGGGGUGAUGGCCUACCAAGGCGACGACGGGUAGCCGGCCUGAGAGGGCGACCGGCCACACUGGGACUGAGACACGGCCCAGACUCCUACGGGAGGCAGCAGUGGGGAAUAUUGCACAAUGGGCGAAAGCCUGAUGCAGCGACGCCGCGUGAGGGAUGAAGGCCUUCGGGUUGUAAACCUCUUUCAGCAGGGAAGAAGCGCAAGUGACGGUACCUGCAGAAGAAGCGCCGGCUAACUACGUGCCAGCAGCCGCGGUAAUACGUAGGGCGCAAGCGUUGUCCGGAAUUAUUGGGCGUAAAGAGCUCGUAGGCGGUUUGUCGCGUCUGGUGUGAAAACUCGAGGCUCAACCUCGAGCUUGCAUCGGGUACGGGCAGACUAGAGUGCGGUAGGGGAGACUGGAAUUCCUGGUGUAGCGGUGGAAUGCGCAGAUAUCAGGAGGAACACCGAUGGCGAAGGCAGGUCUCUGGGCCGCAACUGACGCUGAGGAGCGAAAGCAUGGGGAGCGAACAGGAUUAGAUACCCUGGUAGUCCAUGCCGUAAACGUUGGGCACUAGGUGUGGGGCUCAUUCCACGAGUUCCGUGCCGCAGCAAACGCAUUAAGUGCCCCGCCUGGGGAGUACGGCCGCAAGGCUAAAACUCAAAGGAAUUGACGGGGGCCCGCACAAGCGGCGGAGCAUGCGGAUUAAUUCGAUGCAACGCGAAGAACCUUACCAAGGCUUGACAUGCACGAGAAGCCACCAGAGAUGGUGGUCUCUUUGGACACUCGUGCACAGGUGGUGCAUGGUUGUCGUCAGCUCGUGUCGUGAGAUGUU
Molecule: ribosomal RNA, 1008 nt
Filed under: Cellulosimicrobium funkei
Lineage: Bacteria; Bacillati; Actinomycetota; Actinomycetes; Micrococcales; Promicromonosporaceae
Description: bacterial SSU rRNA
Rfam family: Bacterial small subunit ribosomal RNA
Source: RNAcentral